AUUGAACGCUGGCGGCAUGCUUUACACAUGCAAGUCGAGCGGUAACAGGCCUUCGGGUGCUGACGAGUGGCGAACGGGUGAGUAAUGCAUCGGAACGUACCCAGAGGUGGGGGAUAACGCAGCGAAAGCUGUGCUAAUACCGCAUGUGAUCUGAGGAUGAAAGCGGGGGACCGAGCAGCAAUGUUUGGCCUCGCGCCUUUGGAGCGGCCGAUGCCGGAUUAGCUAGUUGGUGGGGUAAAGGCCUACCAAGGCGACGAUCCGUAGCUGGUCUGAGAGGACGACCAGCCACACUGGGACUGAGACACGGCCCAGACUCCUACGGGAGGCAGCAGUGGGGAAUUUUGGACAAAGGGCGCAAGCCUGAUCCAGCAAUGCCGCGUGCGGGAAGAAGGCCUUCGGGUUGUAAACCGCUUUUGGCAGGAACGAAACGGUGUCCGCUAAUACCGGGCGCUAAUGACGGUACCUGCAGAAUAAGCACCGGCUAACUACGUG
RNAcentral lists this ribosomal RNA (492 nucleotides) under uncultured bacterium. RNAcentral's name for it is "partial 16S ribosomal RNA". It matches the Rfam family "Bacterial small subunit ribosomal RNA", at positions 29 to 507 of the family's 1533-position model. The record is from RNAcentral.